Molecule: ribosomal RNA, 139 nt
Filed under: uncultured bacterium
Lineage: Bacteria
Description: partial 16S ribosomal RNA
Rfam family: Bacterial small subunit ribosomal RNA
Source: RNAcentral
UGGGGAAUAUUGGGCAAUGGGCGAAGCCUUACCCAGCAACGCCGCGUGAGGGAAGAAGGUUUUCGGAUUGUAAACCUCUGUCCUGGGGGACGAAGGAAGUGACGGUACCCCGGGAGGAAGCCCCGGCUAACUACGUGCC